Molecule: long non-coding RNA, 763 nt
Filed under: Ananas comosus (pineapple)
Lineage: Eukaryota; Viridiplantae; Streptophyta; Magnoliopsida; Poales; Bromeliaceae
Description: long non-coding RNA (ACOM_LNC004141)
Source: RNAcentral
UCCGUAAGCACAUUUUCUCAGGGUGCGUUUGGUUCGCAUUAUAAAAAAUUAUUAAAAAUAAAAGAUAUUCGAGAAUCUUAUUUCUAUUCAUUUUAUUACUAAAAAUGUAAAAUUUCUGUGUUUGGUUCGCACGGUAAUAUUAAUUAGCCAUGUUAUUUAAUAUUACAAAAAAAUAUAUAAUUAAUUAAUUAAUUUAUUUAAUUAAUUUUAGAUAAUGUUACUAAAAAUUGCAACAUCUUUUUAGAAAAAAAUGAGAGAAAGUAUAAGUUAGAGAGAGAGAGCAUAAUUAAAAAAAUAGAAAGAAAAAUAUAGUCGAAAUUAGAAGGAGUGAGAGAAUUGAAAUUUUAGAAAGAGAGAGAGAGAAAGCUUAGUUUAUAGAGAGAAAAAAAAAAGUUGAAUUUUAAAGAAAAAAAUAAGUUUAGAGAGAGAUAUAAGGUUAGAGUGUAAAGAAAAAUAAUAUCAAUUAGCCGGCGGGUAGGAAGAAAAAAAGAGAUUAGAUAUAUUAUGAUUACUUAAAUCCAUUAAUAUGAGGAUACCCACCCCCCUCAAAGAAAUGAGAUUAGUACUUUGGGGUGAAUCUUAUUCCCAAGUGAAUCCAAUAUUACCAACUAGAUUACUUAGUGCAUUUAGCCAAACACCGUCAUAUUUUUUUAUUUCCAUUGGAUUACUAGGAAUCUUUAAAAUAUAGCGCGAACCAAACGCACCCCAAAUGUAAUCUAAUCCUGCUGCACUGCGCCGCGAGAUUACUCUUGAAUCUUCUGAU